UGGGGAAUCUUGCACAAUGGGGGCAACCCUGAUGCAGCGACGCCGCGUGAGCGAUGAAGCCCUUCGGGGCGUAAAGCUCUUUCGACCGGAACGAUAAUGACGGUACCGGGAGAAGAAGCUGCGGCUAACUACGUGCCAGCAGCCGCGGUAAUACGUAGGGUGCCAGCGUUAAUCGGAAUUACUGGGCGUAAAGCGUGCGCAGGCGGUUCGGAAAGAGAGAUGUGAAAUCCCAGGGCUUAACCUUGGAACUGCAUGUUUAACUCCCGGACUAGAGUAUGUCAGAGGGGGGUGGAAUUCCACGUGGAGCAGUGAAAUGCGUAGAUAUGUGGAGGAACACCGAUGGCGAAGGCAGCCCCCUGGGAUGAUACUGACGCUCAUGCACGAAAGCGUGGGGAGCAAACA
This 402-nucleotide ribosomal RNA is filed under the name uncultured bacterium. RNAcentral describes it as "bacterial SSU rRNA". It matches the Rfam family "Bacterial small subunit ribosomal RNA", at positions 355 to 774 of the family's 1533-position model. The record is from RNAcentral.